This is a long non-coding RNA of Acanthopagrus latus (yellowfin seabream), 2117 nucleotides long. RefSeq lists it as uncharacterized. The record is from RefSeq and is a predicted model, not a curated record. The transcript has 3 exons. NCBI's taxonomy places the organism in Eukaryota, Metazoa, Chordata, Actinopteri, Spariformes, Sparidae.
UUGUAUUCCCUACUGUAUAUCACAUUAUUGUGUGAGAAACACGACAGAUUUCAAACAAUAAAAUACAAAUACAUUUCCCUUCAAUUCAAUUUAAGCCCUAUCCUACCACAAGAUUUUUUGGGUUAGGGGUGUAAUUGGCUUCCAAACUGGGACAAGGGGGGAUAAAAUCUUAUACAAAUUUAUGAAAAAGGAAAUGUGGGAACAUAGGUCCUAAUUUUGAGAAAAUUUGGGGAAUUUGGGGAAUAUAGGGCUGUGGGAACAUUGGCAUGCUCCCCAUUGGAAAAGCAUGAGCAACUAUGCCAUCAGCAAAUAUCAGCUAGCUGCGUUAGCUAGCUGACUUAGCAGGUCCAUCGGUCAUCUUUAUCUAAGAUAUCUAAGUGAGGCCUUGUUGCAGUGCCAUCCCCUGAGGAGCGACAGCUGACCAUGACCAUCACACUGUGAGGAUGAGUCAAGUUUUUCUUCCUUUGGUUGAGUCACACUGACAACUUAGUUCAACUUCAUGGUGACUAACUGGGCAUAACCUUCUCCUGUCGUCAGCUUGCAUCUUUGAUUUUUUUUCUUGAUUUCCUGUGUGACUCCGAGGCAUUCCCCGCUCAGUGAUAUCAUUCUGUAGCUUUUAUGUAAAGUACCAUAACACUUCAUUUCAAUGGGGGAAAAAGAACUUGCACACUAGUCCAGUAGAGGAUAUGAAGUUUGUGUCUUUGUGCUAGAGCUGGACAGAAAACACUUGUUUAUUUCCAUUAGAGACAUCGAAUCGAUAGAAAGACAGAAAUACUACCUCCCCAUUACAGUCCACCCACUGCCCUAUCUUAGGUCAUACUGUUGGUGCGUACGUCACUGGGCUAAACAGGGCCCGGGAGUGGUAAUUGCUCUGUCUGCCCCAGACUGGCUGAAAGCAGGUGCAUCAUCUCUCCACUCAAUUUACUCCUAAUGUGUGUUACUGAUUGAACCGGCAAUGAGGGCAGGAAAAGUGACAAGGCCGGAUAGAAUCACCCCCUCCGUCCCCUCUGCACACAACUUUCCUCCUCCUCCUCUUCCCCCUCUUCUUCCCCACUUCCUUCCUGUGUUUAGAGUCGCCCAUGUGAAGUCCCUCCAGCGGUUCAUUAAUGGGGAAGGUUAAUGUCAGCACACGCGCUGCUCAUACAAACAGCACUUCCCCCUCCUCCCUCUGGCCCCACGUCACCUUUUCCACUCUCUCCGUCCCCCUCACAUCAGGGCACCGGCGCAGUCGUGACUAAGGGUCUCCCUUGGUGGCAGAGUGGAUGUCGUUUAGCUCUGUCCGCAUGCUGCUCGGGAUCUCUGCUCUCCAUCAGUGGGCUGGAAUAAACCCCCCCAGGUGUUCAUCUUCUCAAUACGCGCCUUAUGCUCCUGCAUCCAGGACGCCUUGUAAAAAGAUCUCAAGUGUUUUUUUUUUGUUUUUUUUUAUUCAACUUGCAUAACAGACUUUCACAACCUUGGCAAAUCCCAGAUCUCAAAUGUUACAAUUUCCAAUUCAGCCUCUUGUAAUUGUGUAGCAAUGCAGAUGUCACCAUUUGGUUAGUGUAUUGAUAUCUACAUAACUAACAUUUUGGAUAACAAAUACAGUCAUGUCAUUUUAGUUGAUGAAAGUGUCCAAUUUGCCAUUUUUAUGGCAGACGACUGGAACUGAGAUUGCCUCAGUCAGUGGUUCUAGUAUGCUCAUUGCAAUACAUUAACUGGUAAUUUUCCUUAACUGCGUUACGUGCUGAUGGACGACUGAGCGCAGAGGAUGCAGGAAAAAGUGAGAAAAACAUUUCCUGCGUAUCAGUAAUUGCCACUGCAUUUCCAUUGUACCAGCCAACAACACAAGUGCUCAGUUCAAAGUGCCAUGCCAGGUCUCUUUUUGUUUGAAGUUAUUUCUGCAAGUUGCUGAAUUGAUUUUAGUUCUUGCACAGUGAGGGCAAAGUUGCUUGUUCUUUUGUUUUUUUAAAAAGAUAUUUGCAGCUUACUCCUUCAUGGUAUUCUGCUGUCUAAAAUUCAAUUUGUCAGUUUGCCCGGUGCAAAAGUUGUCAUCUUGUCUAAAUGAGUGAUCCCAAGUAGAAUGUAAUUAUAUGUGUAAUAAUUUCCACAUUUAAGUGUCAAUAAACAACUAAACCUUU